UGGGACCCCGCCCCCUUCGCCUGGGUCUGGGGCCCCGCGAGACGGCGGAAAGGGGUCAGCUCCGCCGAAGGCGCCGCCAAGGAAGAGCCCAAGAGGAGAUCGGCGCGGUUGUCAGCUAAACCUCCUGCAAAAGUGGAAGCGAAGCCGAAGAAGGCAGCAGCGAAGUGUAGGUAGAAGUUUAGCACUGCACAGUCAUCAGAAGAGGCAAGAUUAAUUUCCUUGACAUUGAGGAGUUGGGUAAUUACUAAAUUUGUCCUUGUUAAAUAAAGAAAGUUCUGUUUUUGUGAUCCUUUUAAAAAUAAAGCUUCACGGAAGGUAUGAGAAUAGUAUUUUUCAACUUGCAAUUUCUCAUUACCAGAAGACCAUGUGGUAAUUCUCUGUAUACAGUUAGAACAGCACGGAAACUUGAAGGCCUAAAAAAUUAGCUGACCUUGUUAAAAAUGUUGGCGUGAGCAGUAUAUUAUUACCUAUCUUUUUUGAUUGUGUGUGUGUGUGUGUGUGUGUGUGUGUUUUUUAACUAAUUGGCUGAAAUAUCUGCCCGUUUCCCUCUUUACAUUUUUCUUGUUUCUUUCCUUAUUUAUCUUUGUCCAUCUUGAGAUCUACUGUAAAGUGAAUUUUUUAAUGAAAACAGUUCCAAGUUUUACUCUCAGUGGGUUUGGGACAUCAGAUGUAAUUGAGAGGCCAACAGGUAAGUCAUUCAUGUCAGUGAUUGUUGAGGAACGAGCCUAUGAGGUCAGCUUUCCCAAAAGGAAAAAGGGCAGAAGGGAUUUGUUCAUUUUUACAUCUAGUUUCUGUAAUACACCUUUGACGUCGUGGUUGAUCAGACUUUAAAGUCUAAACAGAACGUAAGCACUUGGUGUAUCGAUUAUCAUACUACACAGUAGACAGGUUUUCAAGGCAUAUCUUGUCACUGUGUGUGCUUCUAACUUGUAUCUUUCCCUAGAACUAAAUAUUUUGAAGGUCCAAACAUUAUACUUUGGGAAACUUGAUUGAUUUUUUUUUAAUCUAGCUUUUCAGCUGAUAAUGGUUACACGUGGUAUUAUUUCAAGUCCAAGGUAUUAUGUAUUCUAUUUUAACUGUUUCCCAGUUUUGUAUUUUUUGUAUUGGAAUGAUUAUGAAAUUAAUGAGAAAUCUUUAGAAAUCAGAUUACAAAAGAGUAGUUCUUAAAUACAGAAGUGAUUGUGAAACUUUGAUAGCAAUGUGUGUAGUAGCAGUUUUGUCUCAAAUACAUUUAUCGUUUGUUACUCAAAGGAUGUUGAAGUAUUAAAAGUCAUUAUGCUGUCUGUGGAAUCCUAUUAGUACAGAACACCCUGCAGUGAUUUUUCCGCCCAUGUUAACAUUGAAGUUGUGAGCUCUACUUGCUUGUCUUUAUGGCCCUUUAACUGAAGUAAUUGGUCAGUAUGCGUAUGGGUCUUUUAUACCACCCGCUGGGGGCUAAACUAAUUUAGCUGCUGCUGUAUACUUACUAACAAGGAAUAAAUGUUAAGCUUUCUUCUCAGUAUUGAUGGAUGGUAUCUAAAAGUAUUUUUAUGUUUCUUUAACAUGGCUUAAAUUUUGAACUUAAUGUGUCAAGUUAGUAUGGUCAUAUAUUAAUACCUGUGCUUUUCAGAUUCUUCAAACACCUAAAUGAAAGUGAUAAAUUCAAAAUUGAUCCUUUUAGUUCCUCAUUAUAUGAUAUCAAGGGAUUAACUGUAGCAGGAUAGUCAACCUGACCGUACGGCAUGGUGCUUUUUUUCAGGAUAAAUCUUCAGACAAAAAAGUGCAAACAAAAGGGAAAAGGGGAGCAAAGGGGAAACAGGCCGAAGUGGCUAACCAAGAAACUAAAGAAGAUUUACCUGCAGAAAACGGGGAAACGAAAACUGAGGAGAGUCCAGCCUCUGAUGAAGCAGGAGAGAAAGAAGCCAAGUCUGAUUAAUAACUAUAUACCAUGUCUUAUCAGUGGUCCCUGUCUCCCUUCUUGUACAAUCCAGAGGAAUAUUUUUAUCAACUAUUUUGUAAAUGCAAGUUUUUUAGUAGCUCUAGAAACAUUUUUAAGAAGGAGGGAAUCCCACCUCAUCCCAUUUUUUAAGUGUAAAUGCUUUUUUUUAAGAGGUGAAAUCAUUUGCUGGUUGUUUAUUUUUUGGUACAACCAGAAAAUAGUGUGGGAUAUUGAAUUAUGGGAGGCUCUGACUGUCUCGGGGGGUCAGCGGUCAGCUUAACAUUCCAUAGAUGGGGGGUUAGUUUUUAUAUCCUAUAAUACAAAGCAUAUUAAAUGGCAAUAUGGAGUCAGUCCUGCAUUUAAUGUCUUGAACAUUUUAAAUUACUUCUGUUACCAUAUUGUUUUUUUAGUAGAAUUGUUUCCUAAAGAAAACCACUCUUUGAUCAUGGCGCUCUCUGUCAGAAUUGUGUGCACUCUCUAACAUCUUUGGUUGUGGUAGUCCUGUUUUCCUAACAGCUUUGUUACUGUGCUGUGAAAGAUUACAAAUUUGAAUAUGUAGUGUAUGUGCUAUUGAGUUGUGAACUGGUGGGCCGUAUGUAACAGCUGACCAACAUGUGAAGAUACUGGUACUUGAUAGCCUCUUAAGGAAAAUUUGCUUCCAAAUUUUAAGCUGGAAAGUCACUGGAAUAACUUUAAAAAAGAAUUACAAUACAUGGCUUUUUAGAAUUUCGUUACGUAUGUUAAGAUUUGUGUACAAAUUGAAAUGUCUGUACUGAUCCUCAACCAAUAAAAUCUCAAUUAUGAAAAUA
This 2727-nucleotide small RNA is filed under the name Pongo abelii (Sumatran orangutan). RNAcentral describes it as "retained intron". Lineage: Eukaryota; Metazoa; Chordata; Mammalia; Primates; Hominidae. The record is from RNAcentral.